AAAUUGAAGAGUUUGAUCAUGGCUCAGAUUGAACGCUGGCGGCAGGCCUAACACAUGCAAGUCGAACGGUAACAGGAAGCAGCUUGCUGCUUUGCUGACGAGUGGCGGACGGGUGAGUAAUGUCUGGGAAACUGCCUGAUGGAGGGGGAUAACUACUGGAAACGGUGGCUAAUACCGCAUAACGUCGCAAGACCAAAGAGGGGGACCUUCGGGCCUCUUGCCAUCAGAUGUGCCCAGAUGGGAUUAGCUUGUUGGUGAGGUAACGGCUCACCAAGGCGACGAUCCCUAGCUGGUCUGAGAGGAUGACUAGCCACACUGGAACUGAGACACGGUCCAGACUCCUACGGGAGGCAGCAGUGGGGAAUAUUGCACAAUGGGCGCAAGCCUGAUGCAGCCAUGCCGCGUGUAUGAAGAAGGCCUUCGGGUUGUAAAGUACUUUCAGC
This 443-nucleotide ribosomal RNA is filed under the name Salmonella enterica. RNAcentral's name for it is "bacterial SSU rRNA". It matches the Rfam family "Bacterial small subunit ribosomal RNA", at positions 1 to 440 of the family's 1533-position model. RNAcentral also lists the same sequence under 1 other name. Lineage: Bacteria; Pseudomonadati; Pseudomonadota; Gammaproteobacteria; Enterobacterales; Enterobacteriaceae. The record is from RNAcentral.